RNAcentral lists this transfer RNA (67 nucleotides) under uncultured Desulfovibrio sp. It matches the Rfam family "tRNA", at positions 6 to 65 of the family's 71-position model. From Rfam's summary of the family: Transfer RNA (tRNA) molecules are approximately 80 nucleotides in length. The record is from RNAcentral. RNAcentral also lists the same sequence under 2 other names. Lineage: Bacteria; Pseudomonadati; Thermodesulfobacteriota; Desulfovibrionia; Desulfovibrionales; Desulfovibrionaceae.
UCGUAGCUCAGUUGGAUAGAGCGACAGCCUCCUAAGCUGUAGGCCGCAGGUUCGAUUCCUGCCGGGC